UGCCGCCAUGGUGAAAUUGGUAGACACGUUGGUCUUAGGAACCAAUGCUAACGCAUCUCGGUUCGAGUCCGAGUGGCGGCAAC
Molecule: transfer RNA, 83 nt
Filed under: Staurastrum margaritaceum
Lineage: Eukaryota; Viridiplantae; Streptophyta; Zygnematophyceae; Desmidiales; Desmidiaceae
Description: tRNA-Leu
Rfam family: tRNA
About the family: Transfer RNA (tRNA) molecules are approximately 80 nucleotides in length.
Source: RNAcentral